Long non-coding RNA from Microplitis mediator, 349 nucleotides. RefSeq lists it as uncharacterized. NCBI's taxonomy places the organism in Eukaryota, Metazoa, Arthropoda, Insecta, Hymenoptera, Braconidae. The transcript has 4 exons. The record is from RefSeq and is a predicted model, not a curated record.
UAUGCUAGUGACACUUAGUACCAAGCUGAGAUCCUCAGUAUAUCGAUUUCACUCUCACUUAAUUAUCUAUCAUUUCGCAACAAUGAACUUCAAAUGGAUGUUCCUGGUUUUAUUAUUUUCACUGCUGUCAAUUAUUACGAAUAACCAAGUUAUGGCCAUAGCAGGCGUUGACGUGCCACCAGCAGUAUCAACCAUGAUCCCGCCCCUCUCAAAGUAGCCAACUAACACCGGAAACCUAAGAGGAAAUCCUGAAUUGGUUAUGAAACACAAUACUAGAAGAAAAAUAAUGAAAAAAUUGUCAAUUGUAAUCCGCAUUGGUAUAAACAAUAAAUAUAUUCGAUGACCAUAA